This 520-nucleotide ribosomal RNA is filed under the name uncultured bacterium. RNAcentral's name for it is "bacterial SSU rRNA". It matches the Rfam family "Bacterial small subunit ribosomal RNA", at positions 555 to 1074 of the family's 1533-position model. The record is from RNAcentral.
UGGGCGUAAAGCGGGCGCAGACGGUUACUUAAGCAGGAUGUGAAAUCCCCGGGCUCAACCUGGGAACUGCGUUCUGAACUGGGUGACUAGAGUGUGUCAGAGGGAGGUAGAAUUCCACGUGUAGCAGUGAAAUGCGUAGAGAUGUGGAGGAAUACCGAUGGCGAAGGCAGCCUCCUGGGAUAACACUGACGUUCAUGCCCGAAAGCGUGGGUAGCAAACAGGAUUAGAUACCCUGGUAGUCCACGCCCUAAACGAUGUCGAUUAGCUGUUGGGCAGCUUGACUGCUUAGUAGCGAAGCUAACGCGUGAAAUCGACCGCCUGGGGAGUACGGUCGCAAGAUUAAAACUCAAAGGAAUUGACGGGGACCCGCACAAGCGGUGGAUGAUGUGGAUUAAUUCGAUGCAACGCGAAGAACCUUACCUGGUCUUGACAUGUACGGAACCCUCCAGAGACGGAGGGGUGCCUUCGGGAGCCGUAAUACAGGUGCUGCAUGGCUGUCGUCAGCUCGUGUCGUGAGAAG